Molecule: long non-coding RNA, 3444 nt
Filed under: Solanum tuberosum (potato)
Lineage: Eukaryota; Viridiplantae; Streptophyta; Magnoliopsida; Solanales; Solanaceae
Description: long non-coding RNA (STUB_LNC006296)
Source: RNAcentral
AUAAUCAAGGAAAUGGGGUAAUUUUCUAUUUCAGUGAUUUGAUGAUAUUAGAUUUAUGAAAUUCAAUUAUCAAUUUCGUAGUUUUUUUUCAGAUUCCUCUUAUCUCGUUUUGAAUACCUAUUCAGUUCUUUUCUAAUUUCAGAUUCCGCUUUUCUCAUUUUGAAUACUCAAUUGAGUCACACUAUUGGUACUUAUUUUCCUUUGUAUAUAUGUGUUGGCUGCUCAAGGGGUGUGGUCAGAGAAAGUAACAAAUCAUAUUAUAUAAUAUAUUGUGUUCUUCUUGGAUUGUAGUGAUUGCUCUGUAUGUUUGUGAAUUACAUAAAAAAUUGUUAUAUAUUACCCACUCUUUCAAUCGAAGCUCAAUCCUAGCAGGGCUAUCCUUUCUAUUUUUCAUGCCCUCUCAAAUUUCCAAGGUUAACUGUGAAAACGUGUCUGAAACCAUAUAUUCAUGAUUAACUUUGUUUUUUGGUUCUUUUACUUGAUAUUUAAACUCAAGUUCUUCUCUUUUGAUACUUUCAAUAAUAAUGAAUUCUCUAAAGCUGUGAAAUAUUUCUAAUUCUAUGAACAUUCACUAUUACUAUCAACUAUCCCACAGAGAUUUCAAAAUAGUGGAUACCAUCAGGAAGUUGUACAUAUUGAUGUAGUUAGUUUUGAAAGUGAACUUCAAUUGCUUGAAUUCUUACUUCUUUUAUCUGAUUUUCAGGUAUUUUCUUCACUUGAUAUCCUUAUGGCGAUAUUUAAUCUACUAAAUUUUGACUUUUGCUUGUUUUGUUAUUAUUUUUAUAGUUUGCUUCAAAUUCUAUAUGUACGACGCCGAAUUAGUUCUAUAUGUGUUUUUUGGUUGAAAAUAUACGUUGUUGGCUAUGAAAGUUACCUAUUUUAAAGAAAAAAAACUUUUUUGAUUGGGUAAUUAUUUCUUCUCCAAAAGCAGUUGUCCACUCAUUUUCAGGUUUCACAUCAAAGGUUUGGUGAACAAGUCAAUUAUAGUUCUCAUCUAAGGUAAAAUAUUUCUCUAAAUCCAUUGAUAUUACAGUUACUAGUGCAGACUUUUGCAUACUUCAGUAGUAGUGCAGUCAUGUCUAAAUAACAGAGUGAAAGUUCAACUAUUCUUAAAUGUUGUAAAAAUCCUUGGAGUAAUUUCUUACUUUGUUUGCUAUGUCAAGCUGUUAAUAGUUCGUGCUUUACAGUGUAAGAUUACUUCUUUUUUCUUAGCGUUACUAGAUAACUUUUGCAAAGAAAUAAUAAGUGCAAGAGACUUCUGACUUAAAUUCUUUGUAGUUCAUGGCUGAUAAAAUAUAUUAUAAGACUAACAUGUAUAUAAUUUCAGCUUUUUCUUAGGAAUCUCCUUGAUACACACCUUGCCUCAUGGAGUUGUAUAUAUACAUCAUAAAGUACACUAUAGGCAUGGUUAAAUCAAAUACAUGACUGCACUUGGACCAAUUUUAAAAUUCAACAGAGAAAUGCAUCUCAAUUGUAAAUCUAUGAAGUAGAGAAGUUUGAGGACACUACUGCUCUCAUUGAAAUAUUUAGAGGCAAGUAUUAUGAUAGUCUCAUGGAGAGAUGCUAGAGAACUGGAAAGAUAGUACAUGUAUAGUGCCAGUAUAACUAACAGUUGAGUGUCCUAGUACCUACCCUUGUGUACCAUUCAUGCUUGAUGAAGUUAUACUGGGUCCUGAGGAAUGCAAACUGAAUGGUUAGGACUCCCCUGCUACAAUGAAAACAUAAGGAGCAUCACCAGAUUUGCUAAAUGAAAAGAAAGAAUCAUGAAAAACUCUAGUUACCUAUGGGAGAAGUAUUACAAGAUUUACUAUAUUUCGAGCUCCGUUAGACAAUUUGUAUGUUAAAUGUAGCACUCAAUACAAUUAUCAAGCAUUAUAAUACAAAUUUAAGGAAGGAGGUUUAUGUCCAUUUUGUUUCUGUUUCAGCUUUCAAUCGAGUUUUCAAAAUCAUCCAAAACUUACCAAUAUUUUCUCUAUUUUGUUCUGCUGCAUUUUAUCUCUUUGCCUGCUGUCCAAGUCUAUACUUCUGCUGAACAAAAAAAGGGGGACAAAACUUCCUAAUGUGUUCUCGAUAGGGAAAAAAUAUCGAUGAAUAAUAUUUUACCUUAGAUUAAAAUGGCGUUAAAGGAUAGACCAUUGUAUGUAGUAUGAACUUAAUGAUCUUUCUUGUUGUAUUUUAUUUAUUUAGAAGCAUCAACUUCAAAGUUUUAAUUCAUACUUUGGAUUCUAUUAGGUAAACCAACAAAGUCGCCAAAAAGAAGUAUUCUAGAACUUAUUCUUGACAUUCUGCAAUGGUUGCAGCAUCCUUAUAUUAUAUUAAGUUUGAUAUUUAUCACAUUACGUGUACAAUAAGAAAUACAUUAUACAUCUUACUACUUUGUUUGUGUGUAUUUUUAUGUUAGGAGGGAUGAAUACCUAUUAAAUAUUUGCAGAACCAGUUGAUCGCGCUGAGGUUCUAUUGGUCUUAUGAUUGGCUUUGGUUUUUGAAGGCCAGGUAUUCUUAAUAAAUUACAUCUUCUGUUUCUAUUAUGGUGGAAGAUUACUAUGAAAUCAUUAAAGAACCUAUGGAUUUCGGUACAAUGAGGCUAAGCUUCAUGAGGGAAUGUAUGAAAACCUCCAAAAGUUAGAGAUCUGCUAUUCCCCUAAAUUGAGCCUUUAGGUUUAUUUUCUUAUAUAGAAAAUCUUUUUCUUUUCCCUUCAAGUCAAAGUGGACUUGGAUGAAUUCGAGGAAGCAAUAUCAAGUUGUGUCAGUCAUUCUCUUUCUAUUAUAGUUACGUUGAUUGUAGCAACAUUUGGACCUUCAAUCACAUACCAUGUUUGUGAAGUGCAUUAUCUACUAAUAACACAACAAUCAAUCAUUAAUUUAAAAAGAAUGUCCAUACAUAUAAUGUCUAUUUAAUUCUAAUUACACGUAGUCAGGUUAUCUAUUCCUAGACUUGGUAGAUGUUACUAUCUUACUAGUUCUACAUAUGUUUUUUGUAUGACUAAACAACUUAGAAAGUAUUUACUCUACUUUUAUCAUUGAUAUUUUGUCCAUAAAUUUGCAGCUACAUGUUCAUAUAUAGAUGAAAGAUUAUGUAUUUCUUAGAACUUUGCUUUAGAAUUGAGUGCAACGUUAAUUGGAAAGUUGAAAUUUAGAUAUACUAGAUUGUCUAAACUAUGUUUAAUUUAAGUUCUCUAGUGGAAUGUUUAGUAGUUAUGAGCAUUAUUAAUUAUGUCUUUGACAGGUUUAAUGAUUUGAUGAAUUUACAAGUCUCCGACCAAAAGCGAAGAUGAGAUUAUCAUAAUGCCGAGACAGUUGGACAACUUUUCAAAUUUCGUAUAGUAAAUGUAAUGACUAAUAUUGGGCUGUAGAAUGCUACAUUGCUACUGAUGGGAUGUUAAUCUGAUUUUUGUAACUGCUUAUAUAUAUGAAGGCAUGCCAUGCUUGAUCUUAUGUCUUUAU